GUCUGUAGCAAUACAGAUGCUGGCGACCGGCAAACGGGUGCGGAACACGUACGCAACCUUCCUUUAAGUGAGGAAUAGCCCAGGGGAAACUUGGAUUAAUACCUCGUAACAUCAUGAAUCGGCAUCGUUUUAUGAUUAUAGCUCCGGCGCUUAAAGAUGGGCGUGCGCCUGAUUAGGUAGUUGGCGGGGUAACGGCCCACCAAGCCUGCGAUCAGUAACUGGUGUGAGAGCACGACCAGUCACACGGGCACUGAGACACGGGCCCGACUCCUACGGGAGGCAGCAGUAAGGAAUAUUGGUCAAUGGACGCAAGUCUGAACCAGCCAUGCCGCGUGGAGGAUGAAGGUCCUCUGGAUUGUAAACUUCUUUUAUCUGGGAAGAAACCCAUAUUUUCUAGUGUGGUUGACGGUACCAGAUGAAUAAGCACCGGCUAACUCCGUGCCAGCAGCCGCGGUAAUACGGAGGGUGCAAGCGUUAUCCGGAUUCACUGGGUUUAAAGGGUGCGUAGGCGGGUUGGUAAGUCCGUGGUGAAAUCCCC
This 538-nucleotide ribosomal RNA is filed under the name uncultured bacterium. RNAcentral describes it as "bacterial SSU rRNA". It matches the Rfam family "Bacterial small subunit ribosomal RNA", at positions 72 to 604 of the family's 1533-position model. The record is from RNAcentral.